Molecule: ribosomal RNA, 241 nt
Filed under: uncultured bacterium
Lineage: Bacteria
Description: partial 16S ribosomal RNA
Rfam family: Bacterial small subunit ribosomal RNA
Source: RNAcentral
GAUCCUGGCUCAGGAUGAACGCUAGCUACAGGCUUAACACAUGCAAGUCGAGGGGAAACGACAUCGAAAGCUUGCUUUUGAUGGGUCGUCGACCGGCGCACGGGUGAGUAACGCGUAUCCAACCUGCCACCACUUGGGGAUAACCUUGCGAAAGUAAGACUAAUACCCAAUGAUAUCUCUAGAAGACAUCUGAAAGGGAUUAAAGAUUUAUCGGUGAUAGGAUGGGGAUGCGUCUGAUUAG